This 253-nucleotide ribosomal RNA is filed under the name uncultured bacterium. RNAcentral's name for it is "partial 16S ribosomal RNA". It matches the Rfam family "Bacterial small subunit ribosomal RNA", at positions 524 to 776 of the family's 1533-position model. The record is from RNAcentral.
UACAGAGGUCCCGAGCGUUGUUCGGAUUCACUGGGCGUAAAGGGUGCGUAGGUGGCUUGGAAAGUUUGAUGUGAAAGCUCAGGGCUUAACCCUGAAAUGGCAUUGAAUACUGCUGAGCUGGAGGUUUGGAGGGGGGACUGGAAUUCUCGGUGUAGCAGUGAAAUGCGUAGAUAUCAAGAGGAACACCAGUGGCGAAGGCGAGUCCCUGGACAACACCUGACACUGAGGCACGAAAGCUAGGGGAGCAAACAGG